UACAGAGGUGGCGAGCGUUAUUCGGAAUUAUUGGGCGUAAAGGGCGCGUAGGCGGCUUGACAAGUCCCGGGUGAAAUCCCACGGCUCAACCGUGGAACUGCUGGGCAUACUGGACAUCUCGAGGCACUCAGGGGCGAGCGGAACAAGUGGUGGAGCGGUGAAAUGCGUAGAUAUCACUUGGAACGCCAAUGGUGAAGACAGCUCGCUGGGGGUGUCCUGACGCUGAGGCGCGAAAGCCAGGGGAGCGAACGGG
Molecule: ribosomal RNA, 253 nt
Filed under: uncultured bacterium
Lineage: Bacteria
Description: partial 16S ribosomal RNA
Rfam family: Bacterial small subunit ribosomal RNA
Source: RNAcentral